This is a long non-coding RNA of Bombus terrestris (buff-tailed bumblebee), 2212 nucleotides long. RefSeq lists it as uncharacterized. The transcript has 2 exons. The record is from RefSeq and is a predicted model, not a curated record. NCBI's taxonomy places the organism in Eukaryota, Metazoa, Arthropoda, Insecta, Hymenoptera, Apidae.
AUGUAUUUUUCGUUCUCUACUUCCUGUACAUUAUUUCAUUGUUAACUCUACGAGUCGAAUCCGCCAGCUGUUCUCAUAGUGAUUAUCAAGUCGCAUUAAUUGAGAAAAUUGAGAAACAGGUGAACUUUACAUGCUGUUAAUAAAAGCAUGUUCAACUAAUGGCCAUUCAUUCUUUAAUUAAUCGUGAAAAUAAAUGGCACGGUUUUCAUAGUAAAGCUGUACUUUACAUUUUGCAUUUUGUCAAUCACUUCAUAGACGCGAAGUCGAAACAUGGGAAUAACAUUUGAGGUACGUUAUCCUGCAAGUAGAAAGAGAAACGACGGCUUGCGAAUAUUGCGAAUAUAUUUUCCCGUAUUUAGAUUCCUCAACGUAACGACAUCGAUCGAACGUGAUGCAACCUAACGCUUCUAGAUCUUUUCUUACGGAACAUUGUAAAGGGCAGAAUCUAUGCGAAAAAUCAAUACUUGAUCGGACAAACUUUACCCCCUUUCAUGCUCGAUAAUAUGUACAUCGUACUUUUUAAAGUUAUUAAUUGACUAUUAAUUAACUAAAUUACAUUUGUAUUUGUUUCCAAUAAAACUAACCUCUCAAAUUUUAGUGCAUUUUAGUAGCGUAUCUUAGCUUUCAUUACAAAUCAUUCGAGAAAAAACAUUUGAUUCUGUUGUUAAUAAUUAAUAACAUACAACUGUUCUUACGAUUCAGAUCAAAAGGCAAUUCAGCCUUGAAGUGAGACACGAGAAAAUGUGAUAUGAAAUUUCAGUAAAAGAGCAGCGAUUCAAAGAGAUAGUUUUGAGGGAGAUAGUUGAAAGAUUCAUAUUUUCUGGAUACAACCAAACAAAUGGAAUCCAAACAAAGAUUUGUUUCACCUAAUAGAUAUUAUAACAGAUAAUACAUUUUAAAUAUAUUAACUUUUAUAUAUUGUUGCACGUUACAUGCAUCUGAUGCAUUUUUCAUCUUAGAUUGUCUCACAAAUGCAAGAAAUAAUAAUUGAUAAUAAUUUUUAAAGGAUUUAAAGUGGGACACCUUUUGCAAUAAUUGUGCGACUUAACAAAAACGACUCUUGUCAAACUUUUAAAUAAUAACGUAUUCUAGUAGUUAGCAGCGAAACUUACAACGAUAAUGGUAUAUAUUACGAUAUUAUAAAAAAUGCUCAGUGUCGAAUGAAGAUUAAUCUGUUGUUAAAAGUCCUUGUCACGAGGUACGCAAUUCCGCGAUUUAAUUAAAUAUGAUGCUUCUAUGGUGUAUAAUUAUAAAUACAUUUAUAAAGAUUAUGUAAUAUAACGCAUAUUUUGUCAUAUAAAAAUUGAUACGUAUUAAAGAAACAUUAAAGACUAUUAUUUUUUCUUGCGUGGAAAUAGACAAACUGGAAAAUGAGGAAUAUAUAUUUUGUCAUAAAUCUCUUAACUUUUGAACUGUUCGACUUCAUUGUUGGAAUAUGUUAUUAAUGUUUAGCUUUGUCAACAAACAAAAAAAGAAACAAAUGACUUAUUUCCAUCAAUUUAUUUAUCGUAAACCGAUAUCAUUAUGAGCCUUUCGAUCGUAAUCUUAAUAUAUUUCAAAGUGACUACCUUUUUUCCUUGAAAUCAAAUCCUUAAGUACAUCGAACGUCUGUAUGUCGGUAUGUCCGAUUUCGAUGCAAUUACAAAUCACACAUGCUUCUUCAUUAAUGGAAAAGCAAUGGUCCUCGGUUAAUAGCAUUGGCAAUGUCCACAUUUUUUUGCAUGCGUGCCGUUUUAUGGUGGCGAUUGUGAUAUUAAACGCUUAAACAAAGUAUCUAUGUAUGUUUACGUCUUACGCGAAUGAGAUCGUGCGAAUGCUCGAAGCAACAGGAAGAUACUGUAUCAAUAACAUCGAUAUCUGUUACUUUAGGCCUUGUGUGAACGUUAAGCGAGUUUAUCCAAAUGUUCGUAAGUACAUAUUAUACAUAUGUACUGCUUGCAGCUUGUAAUAUCCGAUAGUUGCGCAUAUAUGUGACUUUCAAAUGUAUUAUUUGUAAUUUGUAAAUAAAUUCGAUUGAACCCUCGGCCGAUCGCGAUCGAGCCAUUUCAGAUUUGAAAUGCGAACGAAAUCAAACAAUUAUACGUAUUUAUAAUUGUCGUUAUUCGAUAUAGUUUGGAUAGUUGUAUAGCGUCCUCGAUUGUUGUUGCAUAUCGUGGUUUAUAGUUUUGUAAGUUUCGUAAUUUUCAUGAAUAUGCAAAACAUUUAUGAAUGA